This 3314-nucleotide long non-coding RNA is filed under the name Homo sapiens (human). Its description in RNAcentral is "PCBP1 antisense RNA 1". Lineage: Eukaryota; Metazoa; Chordata; Mammalia; Primates; Hominidae. The record is from RNAcentral.
GCUCAAGGGGGGCGGCCCCGUCAGGGCCCGCCAUCUUGGAAGGCCUUUUUUGCCGGUUCUUCCCGCUGAGGAAGUGUCGCUCAAGACGCUGGCCUAUGAGUUGUGAUUUCUGCCUUUUCCCCUUCCUCCUUGGGCUAAGCCAGACCAGAAAGGGCCCCGUGCGCAACGUGCUUCACAAUCUCUCAGGGAAAGCGGCUAACGUGGCGCUACUCCGCCUCCCCUGUUCCUUACCCUUGGGGCGGCCGCCAUGUUUCCUGAACACAAAAUGGCGACACGUGGUUAGCAUUCGUCGCCAACGAGAAAUUGGGGUCGGCCCGAAAGCUCUAGAAUGCACCCCUCUUCCUCCCCGGGGCCUUCCACCUCCGCGAGUUUUAUGACUUAAAAAAGCCCACAGGCUGGUCUGAAGGUCGGAGGCCUAAUUUUAACGCGUUUUCCUCCCUUUAAUUUGAAACGGGAACGCGAAUGACUGUAAAAUGUGGGCACAAUAUUUAAUCUCUCGCCUUUUUAAAGCUUAAUAGUGGAUAAUAGGGGGGCAGUAUCAAGGGAUAAUUUGGGUCCCCACAGUACCAAAGCAUUUAGAAACCUCUGUUUAAUUUAAGGAAUGAGAUAAGUUACUGCUUUUCUAGACUUCCUAGCAUGGGCUGUUGUGCUGGAGAGAACGAGAGCUACGAAGAGACUACAGUGCCUCUGACUUUUUCAUAGGACAGUUGGCCGGUGAAUCUUAUUAAUAGUUUACCACAAUUAAGUGUUCAUUUUUAGUCUAGAAGGGACAGGCGUUUAUUGUGCAUUGGCCAGUGCCAGCACAUCCGAUGCAAGGCAGUUCACCGUAUUCUAUCUUUAAUUUUUACCAUGGUCCUCUGAGGUAGGUGUUCUUAUCUCUCUCUCUCUCUCUCUCUUUUAAACAGAGGAAGACAAACAUAAAGAUGAAGUGCUUAAUUCAAGGUCACACAAUGUCGGGGAUGGACCUCCAGAUUUCCUUACUGACCUGCAUUAUCUUGUGGAUACCUGAGUGAAUUCCACACCACCCAUUUUAUAGAUGAAACCACUGAGACAUGGAGCAAUUGACUGAGUAGUCACUGCCCCACCCCUGCCUGGAGCCUCACACAUGACUCGCCUCCUCUCAGUGACCACAGGAAAACAAGCUCAGGGCUCCCACUGAUUGUACAUUAUGGUGAGACGUGGUCUUGUAACACAGUGGUUAAGAAUGUGACUUUGGAGCCAGCCUGCUAGGGGCUGAAUUCUGACUCAGCCAUUUACUAACUGUGUGACCUUAGGGAGGAGGACCUGGUUGAUAGAAGAAUUUAUCUCGUAGUCUUAACAUCCACUGUAAUUCCAAACUUUGAGGACGAUAGAGAUCAGUGGGCUUUGACUGCCCAGCAUGCAGUCUCCAUUCUUAGGUGGGUUCCCAAGCCUGUAAAAUGUAAGCCUUAUGCUGCUGAGGGCCAUCUUGCCACCCUGAGGGAAACGCUGCCUGAGAAUGAAACAAGCAUAAGUAAAAGCUGAGCUGUGAGAUGGAGCAAGAUGAAGGCCACAUGACAUCUUUGGAGCACCUGGAUCUAACUGUGCCUUAAGCUAGUCUAACCCUGAACAUUUCAUCAUUUCAUUGACAUGAGCCCAGGUUUUCUUUUUUUUUGGAUGGAGUCUUGCUCUGUCGCCCAGGCUGGAGUGCAGUAGCUCAAUCUCGGCUCACUGCAAGCUCCACCUCCCGGGUUCACGCCAUUCUCCUGCCUUAGCCUCCCAAGUAGCUGGGACAACAGGCGCCCACCACCACUCCCAGCUAAUUUUUUGUAUUUUUAGUAGAGACGGGGUUUUACCAUGUUAGCCGGGAUGGUCUUGAUCUCCUGACCUCAUGAUCCGCCCGCCUCGGCCUCCCAAAGUGCUGGGAUUACAGGUGUGAGCCACUGCACCCAGCCCUCAGGUUUUCCCUUUUUUUACCCCUCCUUUUGAAAAUUUGAUGUGGAAUUUUGCCACCUGCAGCCAGAAGAGUUUUAACUAAUCAGUGCCAUAAAUUUUAUAUAGUUCUCCUUGCAAAAUGUGGAUCAGCCUUUCUCAGCAAAUCCUUUGUCAUAAAGUGCUGAAUUGUAAGUUUGUCAUGAGAAUCACAUGAGAUCAUGCAUGUGAAGAACCUGGCAUUAUCCUCCUCAUAGAAAAAAACCAGUAAAUAUUAACUACAGGAAGCAAGGAAGGAGUGGGGUGAGGGGAAGAAGAAGGGGUACUGAUUUAAAAGAACCCUGGAGUCCUAAGGAUAAUCUAGGAACCCUCAGACCCAAUCCGAUACCCCUAUUCUAAAUGCUCCUAGUGCCCUGUACCUUCCCCUCAUAAGCCUUCAUUAUCAUUGUAAUGAUAUGUUUAUGUAAUAUUUUGAUUAAUGUCUCUCCUUCACUGACCUAGCAGUUCUAGCAGGGCAGUGAUUUUGCUGUGUUGCAUCCCCAGCACCUAGUCUGGUAUGUGGCAUUCAGCAUAUGUUUAUUGAAUGAAUGGCCAUGUGGUUAUUCAGAUCCUCCUUGAUUAUUGGGGUUAGGAUUGUGGCAGAAGUGGCAAAAUCAGGGAGAGUAGUCCCUGUCCCCUCUGUAUCUUAUACACUGCCCACACUCCCAACACACAUACACAUACAGAGAAUUUUGUCUCAAUUAGAUAAUUAACUUCUGCUUGGUUGUAAACCAAACCACUGGUUCUUAAACUUUCAUUGGAUCAUUUUAUUGAAGAAUUAAAUAGUGUGGUUCUGGCCUAAUGUCUGGAAAGCCUUGCAGAGGAGUGGAUUAGGUCUUUGUGAUAAACAGGCAGCCUUCCCUGCUCCUGUGUCUUUAUAAAAUCUAUUUAACUGGAGUAGUCCACCCUCCCUCAGGCUCUUACAGGAAUAUGUUGGAGGCUGUAGGAAGGUGGGAAACCGAGAGGGAAAGGACUGGGCCGCUGGAGACUUCACUCAUUCCCUAGCAAGAAACAAAAGCAGUAAAAGGUGGCCCGAGGACAACCUGAAGCUCACUCCUUCAGCACUUUUGGCUGGAGGUCACUUGUUGGAGCCCCACUCAGAGCUCAGCACACCACCCCACCAGCAGCCUCCUCCUCCCAGCUGAGGCUGCAUUUCAUCCCUUCCCCCAGCCUGCUUUCCCUGAGAUAGGGGAGUGUUUCCCAGGGCCCAUGUGACUUCCACUGGCAAGUGACGAUUACCAAUGGUUUACUAGUCAGUGAAACUACCAAAGGCUUUUGUGCUGUAGUAAUCCUUUUCCUGUUUAAAACUCUGGGGAUUUUCUAAUGUUGCCAAUAGUUUUUCAAGUCAGCAAUUACUGUGUGGAUUAUGUAAUGGCUCGGUAUUA